This 99-nucleotide ribosomal RNA is filed under the name uncultured bacterium. RNAcentral's name for it is "partial 16S ribosomal RNA". It matches the Rfam family "Bacterial small subunit ribosomal RNA", at positions 392 to 508 of the family's 1533-position model. The record is from RNAcentral.
CAACGCCGCGUGGAGGAUGAAGUCCCUUGGGGUGUAAACUCCUUUCGAUCGGGACGAUUAUGACGGUACCGGAAGAAGAAGCACCGGCUAACUCUGUGC